UGCCGAUGAUGCUAUGUC
RNAcentral lists this non-coding RNA (18 nucleotides) under Arabidopsis thaliana (thale cress). The record is from RNAcentral. Lineage: Eukaryota; Viridiplantae; Streptophyta; Magnoliopsida; Brassicales; Brassicaceae.